AGGGAGACAGGGGGAGGGAGAGAGAGCAGGAGAGGUGAAUAUGAAUGACGUGAAUAAAGUACAAAGUGGGGGGAAUAUAUCUGUGGUUACGAUGAGGUAAUGCAGAGAGGGGAAAAUGCUGCAAUGCAGAUCUACCCAUUUCUCCAUCUCUCUCUCUCUCAAAUCAAAUGUUAUUUGUCACAUGUAACGAAUACAACAGGUGUAGGUAGACCUUACAGUGAAAUGCUUACUUACAAGCCCUUAACUAACAAUGCAGUUUUAAGAAAAAUACCCCAAAAUGUUAAUAAAAGUAACAAAAAUUAAAGAGCAAGGUUAUAUACAGGGGGUACCGGUUACAGAGUCAAUGAGGAGGUUAUAUACAGGGGGUACCGGUACAGAGUCAAUGUGGAGGCUAUAUACAGGGGGUACCGGUUACAGAGUCAAUGUGGAGGUUAUAUACAGGGGGUACCGGUUACAGAGUCAAUGUGGAGGUUAUAUACAGGGGGUACCGGUUACAGAGUCAAUGUGGAGGUUAUAUACAGGGGGUACCGGUACAGAGUCAAUGUGGAGGUUAUAUACAGGGGGUACCGGUUACAGAGUCAAUGUGGAGGCUAUAUACAGGGGGUACCGGUUACAGAGUCAAUGUGGAGGUUAUAUACAGGGGGUACCGGUUACAGAGUCAAUGUGGAGGUUAUAUACAGGGGGUACCGGUACAGAGUCAAUGUGGAGGUUAUAUACAGGGGGUACCGGUUACAGAGUCAAUGUGGAGGUUAUAUACAGGGGGUACCGGUUACAGAGUCAAUGUGGAGGUUAUAUACAGGGGGUACCGGUUACAGAGUCAAUGUGGAGGUUAUAUACAGGGGGUACCGGUUACAGAGUCAAUGUGGAGGUUAUAUACAGGGGGUACCGGUUACAGAGUCAAUGUGGAGGUUAUAUACAGGGGGUACCGGUACAGAGUCAAUGUGGAGGUUAUAUACAGGGGGUACCGGUUACAGAGUCAAUGUGGAGGUUAUAUACAGGGGGUACCGGUACAGAGUCAAUGUGGAGGUUAUAUACAGGGGGUACCGGUUACAGAGUCAAUGUGGAGGCUAUAUACAGGGG
Long non-coding RNA from Oncorhynchus keta (chum salmon), 1080 nucleotides. RefSeq lists it as uncharacterized. Lineage: Eukaryota; Metazoa; Chordata; Actinopteri; Salmoniformes; Salmonidae. The transcript has 4 exons. The record is from RefSeq and is a predicted model, not a curated record.